This 1430-nucleotide ribosomal RNA is filed under the name uncultured organism. RNAcentral's name for it is "bacterial SSU rRNA". It matches the Rfam family "Bacterial small subunit ribosomal RNA". The record is from RNAcentral.
GAUGAACGCUAGCGGGAGGCUUAACACAUGCAAGUCGAGGGGCAGCAUUGUAGCUUGCUACAGAUGGCGACCGGCGCACGGGUGAGUAACGCGUAUGCAACCUGCCUUUUACAGGGGGAUAGCCCAGAGAAAUUUGGAUUAAUACCCCAUAGUAUCAAUUUACCGCAUGGUAAGUUGAUUAAAGAUUUAUCGGUAAAAGAUGGGCAUGCGUGGCAUUAGCUGGUUGGUAAGGUAACGGCUUACCAAGGCGACGAUGCCUAGGGGUUCUGAGAGGAUGACCCCCCACACUGGUACUGAGACACGGACCAGACUCCUACGGGAGGCAGCAGUGAGGAAUAUUGGUCAAUGGGCGAGAGCCUGAACCAGCCAUCCCGCGUGAAGGAAGACUGCCCUAUGGGUUGUAAACUUCUUUUCUGCACCAAGAACGUGCCCUACGUGUAGGGCAGUGACGGUAGUGCAGGAAUAAGCAUCGGCUAACUCCGUGCCAGCAGCCGCGGUAAUACGGAGGAUGCGAGCGUUAUCCGGAUUCAUUGGGUUUAAAGGGUGCGUAGGCGGCUUCUUAAGUCAGUGGUGAAAUCCUGCGGCUCAACCGUAGAACUGCCAUUGAAACUGGGGGGCUUGAAUACAGAUGAAGUAGGCGGAAUGAGUAGUGUAGCGGUGAAAUGCAUAGAUAUUACUCAGAACACCGAUUGCGUAGGCAGCUUACUAAACUGAUAUUGACGCUGAGGCACGAAAGCGUGGGGAGCGAACAGGAUUAGAUACCCUGGUAGUCCACGCAGUAAACGAUGUUCACUCGCUGUUUGCGAUAUACAGUAAGCGGCUUAGCGAAAGCAUUAAGUGAACCACCUGGGGAGUACGUCGGCAACGGUGAAACUCAAAGGAAUUGACGGGGGCCCGCACAAGCGGAGGAACAUGUGGUUUAAUUCGAUGAUACGCGAGGAACCUUACCUGGGCUUAAAUGUAGGUUGCAUGAGGUGGAAACACCCUUCCCUUCGGGGCUACCUACAAGGUGCUGCAUGGUUGUCGUCAGCUCGUGCCGUGAGGUGUCGGGUUAAGUCCCAUAACGAGCGCAACCCUUACCGUUAGUUGCCAUCAGGUCAAGCUGGGAACUCUAACGGGACUGCCACCGUAAGGUGAGAGGAAGGUGGGGAUGACGUCAAAUCAGCACGGCCCUUAUGUCCAGGGCUACACACGUGUUACAAUGGCCGGUACAGAGGGCAGCUACACCGCGAGGUGGUGCUAAUCCUAAAAGCCGGUCCCAGUUCGGAUCGUAGUCUGCAACCCGACUACGUGAAGUUGGAUUCGCUAGUAAUCGCGCAUCAGCCAUGGCGCGGUGAAUACGUUCCCGGGCAUUGUACACACCGCCCGUCAAACCAUGGAAGCUGGGGGGACAUGAAGUCUGUCACCGAAAGGAGCGGCACUAGGGUAAA